Molecule: transfer RNA, 73 nt
Filed under: Diaphorina citri (Asian citrus psyllid)
Lineage: Eukaryota; Metazoa; Arthropoda; Insecta; Hemiptera; Psyllidae
Rfam family: tRNA
About the family: Transfer RNA (tRNA) molecules are approximately 80 nucleotides in length.
Source: Rfam by way of RNAcentral
GCCCAGUUAGCUUAGUUGGUAGCGCGUCUGCCUUGUAAGCGCUAGGCCGCGGGUUCGAUUCCCGCUUGGGGCG